This is a non-coding RNA of Acanthosepion pharaonis, 109 nucleotides long. The record is from the annotation of a GenBank genome assembly. NCBI's taxonomy places the organism in Eukaryota, Metazoa, Mollusca, Cephalopoda, Sepiida, Sepiidae.
GCCAUAUUACGUUGAAACAUCGGUUUCCGUACAAUCGCCGAAGUUAAGCAACGUCGAACCUGGUCAGUACCUAGGUGGGUGACCACUUAGGACCACCAGGUGCUACAAG